AAUUCGAUUGAGUUUGAUCAUGGCUCAGGACGAACGCUGGCGGCGUGCUUAACACAUGCAAGUGGAGCGACGAACCAGGGCUUGCCCUGGGGCAGAGCCGCGAACGGGUGAGUAACACGUGGGUAACGUGCCCCGAUGACUGGGACAACCCGGGGAAACCCGGGCUAAUACCGGACAUGCCCCCUCACAUCAGUGAGGUGUGUAAAGGAAGCUUCGGCCUCCGCAUCGGGAUCGGCCCGCGGCCCAUUAGCUUGUCGGUGAGGUAAUGGCUCACCAAGGCUUCUAUGGGUAGCUGGUCUGAGAGGACGAUCAGCCACACUGGGACUGAGACACGGCCCAGACUCCUACGGGAGGCAGCAGUGGGGAAUCUUGCGCAAUGCGCGAAAGCGUGACGCAGCAACGCCGCGUGGGGGAAGACGGCCUUCGGGUUGUAAACCCCUUUCAGUUGGGACGAAGGUCGGGCGGUUAACAGCCGUUCCGGCUGACGGUACCUUCACAAGAAGCCCCGGCUAACUACGUGCCAGCAGCCGCGGUAAUACGUAGGGGGCAAGCGUUGUCCGGAAUCAUUGGGCGUAAAGAGCGUGUAGGCGGCCCGAUAAGUCCGCUGUGAAAGUCAAGGGCUCAACCCUUGAAUGCCGGCGGAUACUGUCAGGCUAGAGUCCGGAAGAGGCGAGUGGAAUUCCUGGUGUAGCGGUGAAAUGCGCAGAUAUCAGGAGGAACACCUACGGCGAAGGCAGCUCGCU
Molecule: ribosomal RNA, 743 nt
Filed under: uncultured bacterium
Lineage: Bacteria
Description: bacterial SSU rRNA
Rfam family: Bacterial small subunit ribosomal RNA
Source: RNAcentral